UCUCCUACGGGAGGCAGCAGUCGGGAAUAUUGCGCAAUGGAGGAAACUCUGACGCAGUGACGCCGCGUAUAGGAAGAAGGUUUUCGGAUUGUAAACUAUUGUCGUGAGGGAAGAAGAUGACAGUACCUCAGGAGGAAGCUCCGGCUAACUAUGUGCCAGCAGCCGCGGUAAUACGUAGGGGGCAAGCGUUAUCCGGAAUUACUGGGUGUAAAGGGAGCGUAGACGGUAAUGCAAGUCUGGAGUGAAAGGCGGGGGCCCACCCCCCGGACUG
RNAcentral lists this ribosomal RNA (271 nucleotides) under uncultured bacterium. RNAcentral describes it as "partial 16S ribosomal RNA". It matches the Rfam family "Bacterial small subunit ribosomal RNA", at positions 335 to 623 of the family's 1533-position model. The record is from RNAcentral.